RNAcentral lists this RNase P RNA (334 nucleotides) under Erysipelotrichaceae bacterium. RNAcentral's name for it is "RNase P RNA component class B". It matches the Rfam family "Bacterial RNase P class B". From Rfam's summary of the family: Ribonuclease P (RNase P) is a ubiquitous endoribonuclease, found in archaea, bacteria and eukarya as well as chloroplasts and mitochondria. Its best characterised activity is the generation of mature 5'-ends of tRNAs by cleaving the 5'-leader elements of precursor-tRNAs. Cellular RNase Ps are ribonucleoproteins. The record is from RNAcentral. Lineage: Bacteria; Bacillati; Bacillota; Erysipelotrichia; Erysipelotrichales; Erysipelotrichaceae.
UGAUCUGGAUAAUUGCUGGUGAAGUAAUUCAUUAGAGGAAAGUCCAUGCUCGCACUGCCUGUGAUGGUAGUAGUGUUUGUGCCAAAGGAAAAAAUAACUUUGGGUAGGUGGGAGCACCUAACGGCAGGUCAAAACCUAAAUCGUAAGACAUGGUCUAGACCUUGAAAGUGCCACAGUGACGUAGUUUAUAUGAAAGUAUAAAGUGGAACGCGGUAAACCCCUCAAGCGAGAAACCUAAAUUUGGUAAGGGAGGUUUAAGUAGAGAAACGAAUCUAACUUAAGCAUACUUCGGUAUAGAUAAAUAAUUAUCCUAGACAGAACAUGGCUUACAGGA